GAUCAUUAUUGUACAAUGGAAGUGCUGGGGUUGUCGCUGACCUUUGAAAGGGUCGUGCACACCUUGGUGCUUUCACACACAAUCCAUCUCACCCCUUUUGUGCAUUACCGCGUGGGGCCCCCUUUUAGUUAGUUCUGAAUGGGGCUUUCACGUUUUUACAAACACACCCUUUUAAUGCAAUGUGUAGAAUGUCUUACUUUUUUGCGAUCAUACGCAAUUAAUACAACUUUCAACAACGGAUCUCUUGGCUCUCGCAUCGAUGAAGAACGCAGCGAAAUGCGAUACGUAAUGUGAAUUGCAGAAUUCAGUGAAUCAUCGAAUCUUUGAACGCACCUUGCGCCCUUUGGCAUUCCGAAGGGCACACCCGUUUGAGUGUCGUGACAUUCUCAAACCUUCUUGGUUUCUUGACUAAGAAGGCUUUGGACUUUGGAGGCUUUUGCUGGACCUUCCCUUGUUGAAGCCAGCUCCUCUUAAAUGAAUUAGUGGGGUCUGCUUUGCUGAUCCUUGACGUGAUAAGAUGCUUCUACGUCUUGGGUUUUGCACUGUUUAUUCUAGAUCCUGCUUCUAAUCGUC
This 573-nucleotide ribosomal RNA is filed under the name uncultured Russulaceae. Its description in RNAcentral is "eukaryotic LSU rRNA". The stretch from base 225 to 378 matches the Rfam family "5.8S ribosomal RNA". Lineage: Eukaryota; Fungi; Basidiomycota; Agaricomycetes; Russulales; Russulaceae. The record is from RNAcentral.